CUCAAUUUUCAUCUUAAAAUAAUGCUUUUAUAUUUUUGCAGUGGGCAAUUACAGGCAUCACAGAUCACAGGAAAAACAGAUGUGCUGCCGACCAGUUAACUUAGUCUUGCAGAAAACUGUCUACAGCCAAACAGCAGCAGAUAGCAACUUACCCGUUCCACUUCAUUACUGCAGUAAGUUGUGAAUGGCAAGGCUUGUAAUUUGUACCACUUAGACACUAACAUUUUUAAGCAUAAGGAUUUUCUUUCUUUUAAAAAAACCCAAAGUAACAACUAACAAGCACCUUCGCUUUUGCGACAGUUGAUUAGAACAGCUGAAGUCACAAAGUAAAGAGAGAAAUUCUGAGCUUUCAACAACAGAGCUGUGUGUGUUAUGUGAGUUUCAUACAGUAUGUAGGGCAGAACUCUGAGCUCUGUGGCAUGGAUAGAAAAGUAAUUCAAUUACUGUGGAAUUAAAAUCAACUGCAUUACACUGGAAAAAAAACAGGUGACACUGAGAGCAGGAAGGAGGGUUUGGCACCUUGCAAGGCUGGGACACACACAACCCAUGGCUUACCACUCUCCUUGUUGCUGGGACUGUUCAGAGAGGCCCGAGUACAGGACAGUCAGCGUAGCCCAAGCACUGGGCACAUUCUACCAGACAGUUAAAAGUUGUAGACCUGACUGUGCGAAUUUCUGAGUGGUGGAACUCUGUUGUCUGUGCUAAAUUCAAGAGAGGACAAGAAGAAUGGCAGAAGAGGAAUAUGGCUUCAGAAAAGAUUGAAACUCAUCCUGUUCCUGGCUGAAUAAGGAUCUAAAUUCCUGAAAACUACAAUUCCAGAGCACAAUACAGGAAAUAUUUGACGAAAAUAUAUAAAUGGUGAUAUGCAGAAGUUCGAGGUCCACACAGAGCUUCGGUGAUGAUAUUAAAUAAUAAAUCAGUACUAGUUACUCCA
RNAcentral lists this long non-coding RNA (934 nucleotides) under Anser cygnoides (Swan goose). RNAcentral describes it as "lncRNA (ENSACDG00005009504.1)". Lineage: Eukaryota; Metazoa; Chordata; Aves; Anseriformes; Anatidae. The record is from RNAcentral.